This is a long non-coding RNA of Stegastes partitus (bicolor damselfish), 1298 nucleotides long. RefSeq lists it as uncharacterized. The record is from RefSeq and is a predicted model, not a curated record. The transcript is spliced from 3 exons. NCBI's taxonomy places the organism in Eukaryota, Metazoa, Chordata, Actinopteri, Pomacentridae.
UCGCAGACGUCCACUGAGUCAUCGCACCCGCUUGUAAUUGACCUGAUCAUUUAAAAGUGUUUAGCACACUCACGCAUGUACGCCCUCCAGAGCAAGACCUGAGUGACAGACGGAGAGUUUGAACAAGCAGAGGUUCAAGUUGUUGCAUGCUUGUCUUGUUUUCUCCUCAGGUUUCAAAGUGAAGCAUCCAACAAAGAGGGCUCAUGUCGGUGACAGCAGCGCCGACAGCUGCGACUCCGGCAGCAGCCAUCAACAUGAGACACUUGACAAAGCUUGAGAGGGAACCAUUGAAAGCAUGACGGGGCGAUCUACCGUGGAGGAUAAAGCAGCGAGCUCCAGAUUGGACCGUAGCACCCUGUCAGUGGGCGGACGUACCGCUCUGGAGAGCUUCCCCUUGUGUUCUGUUGAUGGAAAGCAUGGAACCAAAACCCAAAGCACCUCGAAAGUCUUGCAGCGACUACUUUAGCCAUCGCCACUUCAAAGCGGCUGCGCUCAGAGUCCGACUCAGCUUCUCAAUCAGCGGCCGGGCUUCGCUGCAUGAGAUCAGAGGAGCUCAACGCAAGUUGGCGCAUGGAUGAUGGAUCCUUAAGAAAUGAGACAACUUGUGGGGUCAGCAACUUUCACUGGUUGGGGCCAUCAGCCUGCCGUGUCGGUGGCGUGUCAGUCUGAGGGGACACUUGGUUGACUCGUGUCCAGCUCACGCUCACUACAGACGGGUGUCUGAAUGGAUGAGGCUCAGUCGGACGGUCCACACUAGUUUUAUGCUGAUGCUGCUAAAGACAGACGGAUGAGCAGCAAGUGAGGAACUAUGCCAAUGCGUGCAAACACACACUGCGCUGGCCAUUUUGUUAGGAACAGUUUAAUGUAGGGUUCUGGUACAUGCUUUGCCUUUACGAACCCUGUAAUAGUUCACAUUUCAAGAGGUUUGAACUCUUACAUACUGUCAAAUUUGACCCGUUUUGACAUUUGACAGCAGCAAAAACACCCUAAACAUUGUUCUUUAAACCUGAAAUUUGACCCAAAAUGUUAUACUUAAGUACACGUGCUACAAAUUUUUGUACACUGAGGCUCCAGUUUGACCCAUUGAGACGGAUUUUAGAUCCACCAGUGUGGGUCAAAUCAAGGAACAUGGUGGUUUUAGGGAAUCUUGAAACUGUACAGGCCAUGUUUUAUUUUAUAUUUACAUUUAUUGCAGCUGCUCACUUCCCAACAGCAACCUCAUCCACCUCCUCAUCCCCAAAGCCCGCACCAUCUUUGGCUGCUAUUCAUUUAAGUUUUCUGCAGCUCUUGACUGGAAC